RNAcentral lists this ribosomal RNA (476 nucleotides) under uncultured bacterium. RNAcentral's name for it is "partial 16S ribosomal RNA". It matches the Rfam family "Bacterial small subunit ribosomal RNA", at positions 28 to 507 of the family's 1533-position model. The record is from RNAcentral.
GACGAACGCUGGCGGCGUGCCUAAUACAUGCAAGUCGAGCGAUGAGGAUCGGUGCUUGCGCGGAUUUGAAGUGGAGAGAACGUGAGAGUAACGCGUGGGGACUCUGCCUUAGAGCGGGGGAAAACAUGGGAAAACGAAUGCUAAUACCGCAUAAGAACUUUAAACAUAGGGGGUAAGGGAGAAAGUUGGAAGUGCGGCACGUAAGGAUGAAUUCGCGGUGUAUUGGUGGGUUGGUGAGGUACAGGGUCACUCAGGCGUUGAUGGAUAGCCGGACUGAGAGGGUGACCGGCCACAUUGGGACUGAGAUACCGCCCAGACUCCUUCGGGAGGCAGGAGUGGGAGAUAUUGCACACUGGGCGGCAUCCUGAUGCAGCAACGCCGCGUGCGGGAUCACUGCCUUCGGGUUGUAACCCGCUUUCGCCUGUGACGAAGCGUGAGUGACGGUAAUGGGUAAAGAAGCACCGGCUAACUACGUG